UACGUAGGGUGCGAGCGUUGUCCGGAAUUAUUGGGCGUAAAGGGCUCGUAGGCGGCUUGUCGCGUCGGGAGUGAAAACUCAGGGCUUAACCCUGAGCCUGCUUCCGAUACGGGCAGACUAGAGGUAUGCAGGGGAGAACGGAAUUCCUGGUGUAGCGGUGGAAUGCGCAGAUAUCAGGAGGAACACCGGUGGCGAAGGCGGUUCUCUGGGCAUUACCUGACGCUGAGGAGCGAAAGUGUGGGGAGCGAACAGG
RNAcentral lists this ribosomal RNA (253 nucleotides) under uncultured bacterium. Its description in RNAcentral is "partial 16S ribosomal RNA". It matches the Rfam family "Bacterial small subunit ribosomal RNA", at positions 524 to 776 of the family's 1533-position model. The record is from RNAcentral.